This is a non-coding RNA of Stylophora pistillata, 75 nucleotides long. The record is from the annotation of a RefSeq genome assembly. NCBI's taxonomy places the organism in Eukaryota, Metazoa, Cnidaria, Anthozoa, Scleractinia, Pocilloporidae.
GCGCCCGUAGCUCAGCUGGACUAGAGCAGGGGACUUCUAAUCCUCAGGUUGCAGGUUCGAGUCCUGCCGGGCGCG